GGCUAACCACUCCGGUGGCCUAGUAGUUAGAGCGGCCGCCUCGAAUGCAGGAGGUCUUGGGUUCGAUCCCCGUCGAGUCA
Non-coding RNA from Potamilus streckersoni, 80 nucleotides. The record is from the annotation of a GenBank genome assembly. NCBI's taxonomy places the organism in Eukaryota, Metazoa, Mollusca, Bivalvia, Unionida, Unionidae.